CCUACGGGACGCUGCAGUGAGGACUAUUGGUCAAUGGCCGGAAGGCUGAACCAGCCAUUCCGCGUGAAGGUCAGUGCCCUAUGGGCGUUAAACUUCUUUUGUGCGGGAGCAAUAAUGGUCACGUGUGGCCAGACGAGAGUACCGUACGACUAAGCAUCGGCUAACUCCGUGCCAGCAGCCGCGGUCAUACGGGGUAUGCAAGCGUUAUCCGGAUUUAUUGGGUUUAAAGGGUGCGUAGGCUGUGAGGUAAGUCAGCGGUGAAAUGCCCCCGCUCAACGGGGUGAAGUGCCAUUGAUACUGCCUGGCUGGAAUGCGGAUGCCGUGGGAGGAAUGUGAGGUGUAGCGGUGAAAUGCAUAGAUAUCACACAGAACACCGAUUGCGAAGGCAUCUCACGAAUCCGCGAUUGACGCUGAUGCACGAAAGCGUGGGUAUCAAACAGGAUUAGAUACCCUAGUAGUC
This 460-nucleotide ribosomal RNA is filed under the name uncultured bacterium. RNAcentral's name for it is "partial 16S ribosomal RNA". It matches the Rfam family "Bacterial small subunit ribosomal RNA", at positions 338 to 795 of the family's 1533-position model. The record is from RNAcentral.